This 487-nucleotide ribosomal RNA is filed under the name uncultured bacterium. Its description in RNAcentral is "bacterial SSU rRNA". It matches the Rfam family "Bacterial small subunit ribosomal RNA", at positions 24 to 518 of the family's 1533-position model. The record is from RNAcentral.
UCAGGAUGAACGCUGGCGGCGUGCUUAACACAUGCAAGUCGAACGAAGCCAAAAGGAAGCUUGCUUUCUUGAAGCUUAGUGGCGGACGGGUGAGUAACGCGUGAGGAACCUGCCCUUCAGUGGGGAAUAACAGCCGGAAACGACUGCUAAUACCGCAUAACGUCAUCGGACCGCAUGAUCUGAUGACCAAAGGAUUUAUUCGCUGAAGGAUGGCCUCGCGUCCGAUUAGGCAGUUGGUGAGGUAACGGCCCACCAAACCUACGAUCGGUAGCCGAACUGAGAGGUUGAUCGGCCACAUUGGGACUGAGACACGGCCCAGACUCCUACGGGAGGCAGCAGUGGGGAAUAUUGGGCAAUGGGCGAAAGCCUGACCCAGCAACGCCGCGUGAAGGAAGACGGUCUUCGGAUUGUAAACUUCUUUGAUUGGGGAAGAACACAAUGACCUACCCAAAGAACAAGUCACGGCUAACUACGUGCCAGCCGCAGC